AGUGAACGCUGGCGGUAGGCCUAACACAUGCAAGUCGAACGGCAGCACAGGAGAGCUUGCUCUCUGGGUGGCGAGUGGCGGACGGGUGUGGAAUACAUCGGAAUCUACUUUUUCGUGGGGGAUAACGUAGGGAAACUUACGCUAAUACCGCAUACGACCUACGGGUGAAAGCAGGGGACCUUCGGGCCUUGCGCGAUUGAAUGAGCCGAUGUCGGAUGAGCUAGUUGGCGGGGUAAAGGCCCACCAAGGGGACGAUCCGUAGCUGGUCUGAGAGGAUGAUCAGCCACACUGGAACUGAGACACGGUCCAGACUGCUACGGGAGGCAGCAGUGGGGAAUAUUGGACAAUGGGCGCAAGCCUGAUCCAGCCAUACCGCGUGGGUGAAGAAGGCCUUCGGGUUGUAAAGCCCUUUUGUUGGGAAAGAAAUCCAGCUGGCUAAUACCCGGUUGGGAUGACGGUACCCAAAGAAUAAGCACCGGCUAACUUCGUGCCAGCCGCCGCCGUAA
This 506-nucleotide ribosomal RNA is filed under the name uncultured bacterium. RNAcentral describes it as "partial 16S ribosomal RNA". It matches the Rfam family "Bacterial small subunit ribosomal RNA", at positions 29 to 523 of the family's 1533-position model. The record is from RNAcentral.